UACGGGGGGAGCAAGCGUUGUUCGGAUUUACUGGGCGUAAAGGGCGCGUAGGCGGCCAGUGCAAGUCAGUUGUGAAAUCUCCGAGCUUAACUCGGAAAGGUCAACUGAUACUGCUCGGCUAGAGUGCGGAAGGGGCAACUGGAAUUCUUGGUGUAGCGGUGAAAUGCGUAGAUAUCAAGAGGAACACCUGCGGCGAAGGCGGGUUGCUGGGCCGACACUGACGCUGAGGCGCGAAAGCUAGGGGAGCGAACAGG
RNAcentral lists this ribosomal RNA (254 nucleotides) under uncultured bacterium. RNAcentral describes it as "partial 16S ribosomal RNA". It matches the Rfam family "Bacterial small subunit ribosomal RNA", at positions 524 to 776 of the family's 1533-position model. The record is from RNAcentral.